UUAGAUCGUACCCAAGUUACUUGGAUAACUGUGGUAAUUCUAGAGCUAAUACAUGCCGACAGAGUUCCGACCGUCGCGGUGCCUCCGGGCGUCGCGUGCGGGAGGAACGCUUUUAUUAGAUCAAAACCGGCCCGUCGCGGCGCGCCUCGCGCGCGUCCCGAUCGCGGCCCGCGCAAAGACCUGGUGACUCUGAAUAACUUCGAGCUGAUCGCACGGUCUCCGUACCGGCGACGCAUCUUUCAAAUGUCUGCCUUAUCAACUGUCGACGGUAGGUUCCAUGCCUACCGUGGUGGUAACGGGUAACGGGGAAUCAGGGUUCGAUUCCGGAGAGGGAGCCUGAGAAACGGCUACCACAUCCAAGGAAGGCAGCAGGCGCGCAAAUUACCCACUCCCGGAACGGGGAGGUAGUGACGAAAAAUAACGAUACGGGACUCAUCCGAGGCCCCGUAAUCGGAAUGAGGACACUUUAAAACCUUUAAACGAGGAUCAAUUGGAGGGCAAGUCUGGUGCCAGCAGCCGCGGUAAUUCCAGCUCCU
Molecule: ribosomal RNA, 536 nt
Filed under: Chaitophorus capreae
Lineage: Eukaryota; Metazoa; Arthropoda; Insecta; Hemiptera; Aphididae
Description: SSU rRNA
Rfam family: Eukaryotic small subunit ribosomal RNA
Source: RNAcentral